RNAcentral lists this ribosomal RNA (464 nucleotides) under uncultured bacterium. RNAcentral's name for it is "bacterial SSU rRNA". It matches the Rfam family "Bacterial small subunit ribosomal RNA", at positions 29 to 507 of the family's 1533-position model. The record is from RNAcentral.
AGUGAACGCUGGCGGCGUGCUUAACACAUGCAAGUCGAACGGAUGAAAUAAGCUUGCUUAUUUCGUUAGUGGCGCACGGGUGAGUAAUGUAUAGCUAACCUGCCCUUUAGUGGGGGACAACAGUUGGAAACGACUGCUAAUACCCCAUAUUCCUUCUUAUCACAAGGUACGUUGGGAAAGAUUUAUUGCUAAAGGAUGGGGCUUUAUGGUAUCAGCUAGUUGGUGGGGUAACGGCCUACCAAGGCUAUGACGCCUACCUGGUCUGAGAGGAUGAUCAGGCACACUGGAACUGAGACACGGUCCAGACUCCUACGGGAGGCAGCAGUGGGGAAUAUUGCACAAUGGACGAAAGUCUGAUGCAGCAACGCCGCGUGAGGGAUGAAGGCCUUCGGUUGUAACCUCUUUAGUCAGGAGAAGCGAAAGUGACGGUACCGUAGCAGAAAAGACACCGGCGUAACUACGUG